UGGGGAAUAUUGGACAAUGGGGGAAACCCUGAUCCAGCAAUGCCGCGUGAGUGAAGAAGGCCUUAGGGUUGUAAAGCUCUUUCGCCCGCGAAGAUAAUGACGGUAGCGGGAGAAGAAGCCCCGGCUAACUACGUGCCAGCAGCCGCGGUAAUACGGAGGGGGCUAGCGUUGUUCGGAAUUACUGGGCGUAAAGCGUACGUAGGCGGAUGCGCAAGUUGGGGGUGAAAUCCAGGGGCUUAACCUCGGAAUUGCCCUCAAAACUGCACGUCUUGAGACCGGGAGAGGUAAGGGGAAUUCCUAGUGUAGAGGUGAAAUUCGUAGAUAUUAGGAAGAACACCAGUGGCGAAGGCGCCUUACUGGCUCGGUACUGACGCUGAGGUACGAAAGCGUGGGGAGCAAACA
RNAcentral lists this ribosomal RNA (402 nucleotides) under uncultured bacterium. RNAcentral describes it as "bacterial SSU rRNA". It matches the Rfam family "Bacterial small subunit ribosomal RNA", at positions 355 to 774 of the family's 1533-position model. The record is from RNAcentral.